Molecule: ribosomal RNA, 482 nt
Filed under: Lepidurus arcticus
Lineage: Eukaryota; Metazoa; Arthropoda; Branchiopoda; Notostraca; Triopsidae
Description: partial 12S ribosomal RNA
Source: RNAcentral
UAGUUCAUAGUAGUGGUUGAUGUUGAUUAUCAAGUUUUUUGGAAUCAGUUAAAAUUUUUAGGCCCGGCUUAACUCGUGCCAGCCGCCGCGGUUAUACGAUGGGGUCUAAUAAAAUCUUUUGGUGGAAUUAAGUAGAGUUUGUUUUUUUAAAAUAAUUUUUUAACUAUUUAUUUAAGGGUGAAAUUUUUAAAUAUGUACUAUAAUAAUUAUAAAAAAUUUUAUAUCUUUUGAAAUAAAGGUUUAGACUAGGAUUAGAUACCCUAUUAUUCUUUAUUAUUAAGUGCCUGGGUAGUAGAGAUAUUUUUAAACCUAAAGAAUUUGGCGGUACUUCAUUCUUACUAGAGGAACCUGCUCUUGAAUCGAUAUUCCACGAUUAAAUUUACAUAUUUUUGUUUUCAGUUUGUAUACCGCCGUUGUCAGAUUAUUUUUAAAAAAUAUUAUCUAAUUAGCUCAUUGCUGUGACAUCAGGUCAAGGUGCAGCC